UGCUCCCUACGGGAGGCAGCAGUGAGGAAUAUUGGUCAAUGGGCGGAAGCCUGAACCAGCCAAGUCGCGUGAGGGAAUAAGGCCCUACGGGUCGUAAACCUCUUUUGCCGGGGAGCAAGGGCCGGGACGCGUCCCGGCCCGGAGAGUACCCGGAGAAAAAGCAUCGGCUAACUCCGUGCCAGCAGCCGCGGUAAUACGGAGGAUGCAAGCGUUAUCCGGAUUUAUUGGGUUUAAAGGGUGCGCAGGCGGAUUUUUAAGUCAGCGGUCAAAUCGUGGGGCUCAACCUCAUCCAGCCGUUGAAACUG
Molecule: ribosomal RNA, 305 nt
Filed under: uncultured bacterium
Lineage: Bacteria
Description: bacterial SSU rRNA
Rfam family: Bacterial small subunit ribosomal RNA
Source: RNAcentral